AUACGAAGGGGGCUAGCGUUGUUCGGAAUCACUGGGCGUAAAGCGCGCGUAGGUGGAUCAAUUAGUUGAGGGUGAAAUCCCGGGGCCCAACCUCGGAACUGCCUUCAAUACUGUUGAUCUUGAGACCGAGAGAGGUGAGUGGAAUUCCUAGUGUAGAGGUGAAAUUCGUAGAUAUUAGGAAGAACACCAGUGGCGAAGGCGGCUCACUGGCUCGGUACUGACGCUGAGGUGCGAAAGCGUGGGGAGCAAACAGGAUUAGAAACCCUAGUAGUCC
Molecule: ribosomal RNA, 274 nt
Filed under: uncultured bacterium
Lineage: Bacteria
Description: partial 16S ribosomal RNA
Rfam family: Bacterial small subunit ribosomal RNA
Source: RNAcentral